Molecule: small RNA, 23 nt
Filed under: Arabidopsis thaliana (thale cress)
Lineage: Eukaryota; Viridiplantae; Streptophyta; Magnoliopsida; Brassicales; Brassicaceae
Description: ATSL065530
Source: RNAcentral
UUUUUUCCUUCUUCUUGGUUUCU